RNAcentral lists this ribosomal RNA (521 nucleotides) under Drepanura sp. 3 YHD-2019. Its description in RNAcentral is "partial 16S ribosomal RNA". It matches the Rfam family "Bacterial large subunit ribosomal RNA", at positions 1796 to 2620 of the family's 2925-position model. Lineage: Eukaryota; Metazoa; Arthropoda; Collembola; Entomobryomorpha; Entomobryidae. The record is from RNAcentral.
UCGACUGUUUUACAAAAACAUUUCUUUAAAGAUUUAUUUAAAGUAAAGCCUGCCCGCUGAAAUUUGAAGGGCCGCGGUAUUUUGACCGUGCUAAGGUAGCAUAAUCACUAGUCUUUUAAUUAAGGAAUAGAAUGAAUGGCUAAACCCUUAAGUGUUGUUUUAGCAAUAAAAGUUCAAUUUUUAUUUUAAAUGAAAAUAUUUAAUUAAAAAAAAAAGACGAUAAGACCCUUUAGAGCUUUAUUUUUUGUUUAAGUUAUGCUUUAGGAGAAAAUUAAUUUUUAAUGUAAAAGUUUAGUUGGGGCAAUUUAAGAAUAAAUAAAACUUCUUAAAAUUAUAAAUAUCUUAAUAUUUAAAAAUUAAAAAGUUACCUAAGGGAUAACAGCGUAAUGAUUUUUGAGAGUUCAUAUCGACAAAAUUGUUUGCGACCUCGAUGUUGAAUUAAAAUUUCUUUUUGGGGCAGUAUUUAUAAGAGAUAGUCUGUUCGACUGUUAAUUUUUUACAUGAUUUGAGUUCAGACCGGA